GCCAAAAUAGCUCAGUUGGGAGAGCGUUAUAUUGAAGAUCUAAAGAUCCCUGGUUCGAAUCCGGGUUCCAGCA
RNAcentral lists this transfer RNA (73 nucleotides) under Alosa alosa (allis shad). Its description in RNAcentral is "tRNA-Phe". It matches the Rfam family "tRNA". Rfam says of the family: Transfer RNA (tRNA) molecules are approximately 80 nucleotides in length. Their secondary structure includes four short double-helical elements and three loops (D, anti-codon, and T loops). The record is from RNAcentral. Lineage: Eukaryota; Metazoa; Chordata; Actinopteri; Clupeiformes; Clupeidae.